This 433-nucleotide ribosomal RNA is filed under the name uncultured bacterium. RNAcentral describes it as "partial 16S ribosomal RNA". It matches the Rfam family "Bacterial small subunit ribosomal RNA", at positions 29 to 507 of the family's 1533-position model. The record is from RNAcentral.
AACGAACGCUGGCGGCAUGCCUAACACAUGCAAGUCGAACGAGACCUUCGGGUCUAGUGGCGCACGGGUGCGUAACGCGUGGGAACCUGCCCUUAGGUUCGGAAUAACUCAGAGAAAUUUGAGCUAAUACCGGAUAAUGUCUUCGGACCAAAGAUUUAUCGCCUUUGGAUGGGCCCGCGUAGGAUUAGCUUGUUGGUGGGGUAAUGGCCUACCAAGGCGACGAUCCUUAGCUGGCCUGAGAGGAUGAUCAGCCACACUGGGACUGAGACACGGCCCAGACUCCUACGGGAGGCAGCAGUGGGGAAUAUUGGACAAUGGGCGAAAGCCUGAUCCAGCAAUGCCGCGUGAGUGAUGAAGGCCUUAGGGUUGUAAAGCUCUUUUACCAGGGAUGAUAAUGACAGUACCUGGAGAAUAAGCUCCGGCUAACUCCGUG